This 626-nucleotide small RNA is filed under the name Pan troglodytes (chimpanzee). Its description in RNAcentral is "processed transcript". The record is from RNAcentral. Lineage: Eukaryota; Metazoa; Chordata; Mammalia; Primates; Hominidae.
CAGAUUCCAAGAAUGACAAUGAUAACAUUUUCCUGUCACCCCUGAGUAUCUCCACGGCUUUUGCUAUGACCAAGCUGGGUGCCUGUAAUGACACCCUCCAGCAACUGAUGGAGGUAUUUAAGUUUGACACCAUAUCUGAGAAAACAUCUGAUCAGAUCCACUUCUUCUUUGCCAAACUGAACUGCCGACUCUAUCGAAAAGCCAACAAAUCCUCCAAGUUAGUAUCAGCCAAUCGCCUUUUUGGAGACAAAUCCCUUACCUUCAAUGAGACCUACCAGGACAUCAGUGAGUUGGUAUACGGAGCCAAGCUCCAGCCCCUGGACUUCAAGGAAGGCCGAAUCACCGAUGUCAUUCCCUCGGAAGCCAUCAAUGAGCUCACUGUUCUGGUGCUGGUUAACACCAUUUACUUCAAGGGCCUGUGGAAGUCAAAGUUCAGCCCUGAGAACACAAGGAAGGAACUGUUCUACAAGGCUGAUGGCGAGUCGUGUUCAGCAUCUAUGAUGUACCAGGAAGGCAAGUUCCGUUAUCGGCGCGUGGCUGAAGGCACCCAGGUGCUUGAGUUGCCCUUCAAAGGUGAUGACAUCACCAUGGUCCUCAUCUUGCCCAAGCCUGAGAAGAGCCUGGUC